GGCGGACGGGUGAGUAAUGUCUGGGAAACUGCCUGAUGGAGGGGGAUAACUACUGGAAACGGUAGCUAAUACCGCAUAACGUCGCAAGACCAAAGAGGGGGACCUUAGGGCCUCUUGCCAUCGGAUGUGCCCAGAUGGGAUUAGCUAGUAGGUGGGGUAACGGCUCACCUAGGCGACGAUCCCUAGCUGGUCUGAGAGGAUGACCAGCCACACCGGAACUGAGACACGGUCCAG
This 234-nucleotide ribosomal RNA is filed under the name uncultured bacterium. RNAcentral describes it as "partial 16S ribosomal RNA". It matches the Rfam family "Bacterial small subunit ribosomal RNA", at positions 97 to 334 of the family's 1533-position model. The record is from RNAcentral.